RNAcentral lists this ribosomal RNA (597 nucleotides) under uncultured bacterium. RNAcentral's name for it is "bacterial SSU rRNA". It matches the Rfam family "Bacterial small subunit ribosomal RNA", at positions 112 to 704 of the family's 1533-position model. The record is from RNAcentral.
AAUACUUAGGAAUCUACCUAUUAAUGGGGGACAACAUUUCGAAAGGAAUGCUAAUACCGCAUACGCCCUACGGGGGAAAGCAGGGGAUCUUCGGACCUUGCGUUAAUAGAUGAGCCUAAGUCGGAUUAGCUAGUUGGUGGGGUAAAGGCCUACCAAGGCGACGAUCUGUAGCGGGUCUGAGAGGAUGAUCCGCCACACUGGGACUGAGACACGGCCCAGACUCCUACGGGAGGCAGCAGUGGGGAAUAUUGGACAAUGGGGGGAACCCUGAUCCAGCCAUGCCGCGUGUGUGAAGAAGGCCUUUUGGUUGUAAAGCACUUUAAGCGAGGAGGAGGCUACUGGUACUAAUACUACCAGCUAGCGGACGUUACUCGCAGAAUAAGCACCGGCUAACUCUGUGCCAGCAGCCGCGGUAAUACAGAGGGUGCGAGCGUUAAUCGGAUUUACUGGGCGUAAAGCGUGCGUAGGUGGCCAAUUAAGUCAAAUGUGAAAUCCCCGAGCUUAACUUGGGAAUUGCAUUCGAUACUGGUUGGCUAGAGUAUGGGAGAGGAUGGUAGAAUUCCAGGUGUAGCGGUGAAAUGCGUAGAGAUCUGGAGG